AGACCCGAAACCCGGUGAUCUAGCCAUGGGCAGGUUGAAGGUUGGGUAACACUAACUGGAGGACCGAACCGACUAAUGUUGAAAAAUUAGCGGAUGACCUGUGGCUGGGGGUGAAAGGCCAAUCAAACCGGGAGAUAGCUGGUUCUCCCCGAAAGCUAUUUAGGUAGCGCCUCGUGAAUUCAUCUCCGGGGGUAGAGCACUGUUUCGGCUAGGGGGCCAUCCCGGCUUACCAACCCGAUGCAAACUGCGAAUACCGGAGAAUGUUAUCACGGGAGACACACGGCGGGUGCUAACGUCCGUCGUGAAGAGGGAAACAACCCAGACCGCCAGCUAAGGUCCCAAAGUCAUGGUUAAGUGGGAAACGAUGUGGGAAGGCCCAGACAGCCAGGAUGUUGGCUUAGAAGCAGCCAUCAUUUAAAGAAAGCGUAAUAGCUCACUGGUCGAGUCGGCCUGCGCGGAAGAUGUAACGGGGCUAAACCAUGCACCGAAGCUGCGGCAGCGAACGUAUCACUUAAAGCGAUUCAGCGGGUUACGAUUGACGGAGCGAAGCGACGUCAAAGCGUAUACAAAGUCGAGUCGGUUUAAGGAUACGUUCGUUGGGUAGGGGAGCGUUCUGUAAGCCUGUGAAGGUGUGUCGUGAGGCAUGCUGGAGGUAUCAGAAGUGCGAAUGCUGACAUAAGUAACGAUAAAGCGGGUGAAAAGCCCGCUCGCCGGAAGACCAAGGGUUCCUGUCCAACGUUAAUCGGGGCAGGGUGAGUCGACCCCUAAGGCGAGGCCGAAAGGCGUAGUCGAUGGGAAACGGGUUAAUAUUCCCGUACUUGGUGUUACUGCGAAGGGGGGACGGAGAAGGCUAUGUUGGCCGGGCGACGGUUGUCCCGGUUUAAGCGUGUAGGCUGGUUUUCCAGGCAAAUCCGGAAAAUCAAGGCUGAGGCGUGAUGACGAGGCACUACGGUGCUGAAGCAACA
This 965-nucleotide ribosomal RNA is filed under the name Salmonella enterica subsp. enterica serovar Infantis. Its description in RNAcentral is "partial 23S ribosomal RNA". It matches the Rfam family "Bacterial large subunit ribosomal RNA", at positions 711 to 1595 of the family's 2925-position model. The record is from RNAcentral. Lineage: Bacteria; Pseudomonadati; Pseudomonadota; Gammaproteobacteria; Enterobacterales; Enterobacteriaceae.